AGGCCUAACACAUGCAAGUCGAACGGCAGCACAGGAGAGCUUGCUCUCUGGGUGGCGAGUGGCGGACGGGUGAGGAAUACAUCGGAAUCUACUCUGUCGUGGGGGAUAACGUAGGGAAACUUACGCUAAUACCGCAUACGACCUACGGGUGAAAGCAGGGGACCUUCGGGCCUUGCGCGAUUGAAUGAGCCGAUGUCGGAUUAGCUAGUUGGCGGGGUAAAGGCCCACCAAGGCGACGAUCCGUAGCUGGUCUGAGAGGAUGAUCAGCCACACUGGAACUGAGACACGGUCCAGACUCCUACGGGAGGCAGCAGUGGGGAAUAUUGGACAAUGGGCGCAAGCCUGAUCCAGCCAUACCGCGUGGGUGAAGAAGGCCUUCGGGUUGUAAAGCCCUUUUGUUGGGAAAGAAAUCCAGCUGGCUAAUACCCGGUUGGGAUGACGGUACCCAAAGAAUAAGCACCGGCUAACUUCGUGCCAGCAGCCGCGGUAAUACGAAGGGUGCAAGCGUUACUCGGAAUUACUGGGCGUAAAGCGUGCGUAGGUGGUCGUUUAAGUCCGUUGUGAAAGCCCUGGGCUCAACCUGGGAACUGCAGUGGAUACUGGGCGACUAGAAUGUGGUAGAGGGUAGCGGAAUUCCUGGUGUAGCAGUGAAAUGCGUAGAGAUCAGGAGGAACAUCCAUGGCGAAGGCAGCUACCUGGACCAACAUUGACACUGAGGCACGAAAGCGUGGGGAGCACACAGGAUUAGAUACCCUGGUAGUCCACGCCCUAAACGAUGCGAACUGGAUGUUGGGUGCAAUUUGGCACGCAGUAUCGAAGCUAACGCGUUAAGUUCGCCGCCUGGGGGAGUACGGUCGCAAGACUGAAACUCAAAGGAAUUGACGGGGGCCCGCACAAAGCGGUGGAGUAUGUGGUUAAAUUCG
RNAcentral lists this ribosomal RNA (923 nucleotides) under Stenotrophomonas maltophilia. RNAcentral's name for it is "bacterial SSU rRNA". It matches the Rfam family "Bacterial small subunit ribosomal RNA", at positions 44 to 953 of the family's 1533-position model. Lineage: Bacteria; Pseudomonadati; Pseudomonadota; Gammaproteobacteria; Lysobacterales; Lysobacteraceae. The record is from RNAcentral.